RNAcentral lists this ribosomal RNA (158 nucleotides) under Lichenomphalia lobata. Its description in RNAcentral is "5.8S ribosomal RNA". It matches the Rfam family "5.8S ribosomal RNA". Rfam says of the family: 5.8S ribosomal RNA (5.8S rRNA) is a component of the large subunit of the eukaryotic ribosome. It is transcribed by RNA polymerase I as part of the 45S precursor that also contains 18S and 28S rRNA. Functionally, it is thought that 5.8S rRNA may be involved in ribosome translocation. The record is from RNAcentral. Lineage: Eukaryota; Fungi; Basidiomycota; Agaricomycetes; Agaricales; Hygrophoraceae.
AUACAACUUUCAACAACGGAUCUCUUGGCUCUCCCAUCGAUGAAGAACGCAGCGAAAUGCGAUAAGUAAUGUGAAUUGCAGAAUUCAGUGAAUCAUCGAAUCUUUGAACGCACCUUGCGCCCUUUGGUAUUCCAAAGGGCAUGCCUGUUUGAGUGUCA